Oxyura jamaicensis (ruddy duck) is the source of this 1418-nucleotide long non-coding RNA. RefSeq lists it as uncharacterized. NCBI's taxonomy places the organism in Eukaryota, Metazoa, Chordata, Aves, Anseriformes, Anatidae. The record is from RefSeq and is a predicted model, not a curated record. The transcript has 3 exons.
AUGACACACGACUGAUUUGCAUCAUUAGAGAUCCUUGCUGAUGGAUAAACUGCUUUGCAUCUAAAUGAGCCCUAACCUGAACAGCAGCUCAACUGGUGCAUGUGAAGGAUUUACAGUGCUGGCUAGUGGGAAGUUUUAAAUCAUCACAUGAGCACAAAGGAGAGAAGCUGUCAGGAGAACAUGUGUGAUGGGAGAUUUUCACUCUGCUGCAGACCUUCAUUGCCUCCCUGGCUCUGCUUUUUGCACAUCACAGCACCUACCUCUGGGAAAGAUGAAGCUGAGAACCAAGAGCCAUCCAGCACAGAGCCCCAGACACACUGGAGCAUCCAUGAUAUGAUCUGAGAAGACCCCACACUAGCUUCUAAAUUGUCUGUGGAGUGGGACCUGGUGGAGUGAGGCACAGCAAAGGUUUUUGACUGAAACAAUAAGAGCUGACAGGACUGCUCGUGUCUGAGGAGCUGAGAAAAGCCCGUGGUGCUGUCCCUGUUCCUGUACAACAUGCUCUGCGGCUCCUGCUGUUUAAUCUCUGUCCAUCCCCACCUGAGCGGGUGCCAGAGGAGAACCUGCUGCACCCCUGGGAGCCCCAGCCAGCAGGAUGCAGCAGGGCAGCUCCGUCAAUAUUGACUUUACUGCAGGCUUUGGUGUGCAGCGAUGGUUAUCUUGUUCACCGGGUAGGAUUUCGCCCAUUAGUACAAGUGUCUUUGAAGCCAUUAAAUACACAAAAUGGAUGGACUUGAAAAGUGGGGGGUCCUUUCAAAUGGGGGCAUGUUAUCAGCCCAUACAGGUUAUAAAGACCAAGGCCUGUUCUUAGGGCUGCAUACUGGGCAACAACUGUAAAUGGGACUUUUACGGGGUGAUCUCUGUCUGCCACGCUUGUUGGCUUGCCAUAUAGCUCUCCCUUGCAUCGUUGGCACAGCACUUGGCAGGGUUUUCUUCUCUUGGUUUUCAGGGUUUUCUUUUUCUAGGUGCACCUGUGCAGCCCUGCUUUCCUGGCUCUGGCAUUAGACUGGCUGAAAACUUUCCACCCAUGCAUGUUUGCUCAAUGGGAAGGAGCGUUUUGCACAGCAUGAAAUUUUCCAUUGUAUUCAUGAUCAGUUCUGGGCAAACUCACUCAAGGUAAGAAAAAAAAAUCUGGUCCAUGAGAGCUGACUCCACAAGCACCCCAGGGCAGAGACAGCCCCGGUCCUUGCUCUGGGCAGGAGUGCUGCCAGCAAGGGGUGGCACAGCCUGACCUUGCGAGCCUGCCCACAGAGGCAUGCUGCUCUGGGGAACGGAGUUGUGCUGGCCUGGGUCACGCCAGCUGGAAUUUCAGGAGACAGCACAGCGAAGGUCUGACCUGCUGUGUGCAAAGCCCUGGUCACUUUCCCCAGCUGUGAGUGGGAAGCUCCCAGUUAGCAGGAUUUCCUCCCCUCUGCACA